GGGUUGUGAGGUUAAGCGACUAAGCGUACACGGUGGAUGCCCUGGCAGUCAGAGGCGAUGAAGGGCGUGCUAAUCUGCGAUAAGCGCCGGUAAGGUGAUAUGAACCGUUAUAACCGGCGAUACCCGAAUGGGGAAACCCAGUGUGAUUCGUCACACUAUCAUUAACUGAAUCCAUAGGUUAAUGAGGCGAACCGGGGGAACUGAAACAUCUAAGUACCCCGAGGAAAAGAAAUCAACCGAGAUUCCCCCAGUAGCGGCGAGCGAACGGGGAGGAGCCCAGAGCCUGAAUCAGCAUGUGUGUUAGUGGAAGCGUCUGGAAAGGCGCGCGAUACAGGGUGACAGCCCCGUACACAAAAGCGCAUGUGCUGUGAGCUCGAUGAGUAGGGCGGGACACGUGGUAUCCUGUCUGAAUAUGGGGGGACCAUCCUCCAAGGCUAAAUACUCCUGACUGACCGAUAGUGAACCAGUACCGUGAGGGAAAGGCGAAAAGAACCCCGGCGAGGGGAGUGAAAAAGAACCUGAAACCGUGUACGUACAAGCAGUGGGAGCNNGUGACUGCGUACCUUUUGUAUAAUGGGUCAGCGACUUAUAUUCUGUAGCAAGGUUAACCGAAUAGGGGAGCCGGAGGGAAACCGAGUCUUAAUUGGGCGUUAAGUUGCAGGGUAUAGACCCGAAACCCGGUGAUCUAGCCAUGGGCAGGUUGAAGGUUGGGUAACACUAACUGGAGGACCGAACCGACUAAUGUUGAAAAAUUAGCGGAUGACCUGUGGCUGGGGGUGAAAGGCCAAUCAAACCGGGAGAUAGCUGGUUCUCCCCGAAAGCUAUUUAGGUAGCGCCUCGUGAAUUCAUCUCCGGGGGUAGAGCACUGUUUCGGCUAGGGGGCCAUCCCGGCUUACCAACCCGAUGCAAACUGCGAAUACCGGAGAAUGUUAUCACGGGAGACACACGGCGGGUGCUAACGUCCGUCGUGAAGAGGGAAACAACCCAGACCGCCAGCUAAGGUCCCAAAGUCAUGGUUAAGUGGGAAACGAUGUGGGAAGGCCCAGACAGCCAGGAUGUUGGCUUAGAAGCAGCCAUCAUUUAAAGAAAGCGUAAUAGCUCACUGGUCGAGUCGGCCUGCGCGGAAGAUGUAACGGGGCUAAACCAUGCACCGAAGCUGCGGCAGCGANNGUUGGGUAGGGGAGCGUUCUGUAAGCCUGUGAAGGUGGCCUGUGAGGGUUGCUGGAGGUAUCAGAAGUGCGAAUGCUGACAUAAGUAACGAUAAAGCGGGUGAAAAGCCCGCUCGCCGGAAGACCAAGGGUUCCUGUCCAACGUUAAUCGGGGCAGGGUGAGUCGACCCCUAAGGCGAGGCCGAAAGGCGUAGUCGAUGGGAAACGGGUUAAUAUUCCCGUACUUGGUGUUACUGCGAAGGGGGGACGGAGAAGGCUAUGUUGGCCGGGCGACGGUUGUCCCGGUUUAAGCGUGUAGGUGUGUGUUCCAGGUAAAUCCGGUUCACUUUAACACUGAGGCGUGAUGACGAGGCACUACGGUGCUGAAGUAACAAAUGCCCUGCUUCCAGGAAAAGCCUCUAAGCAUCAGGUAACAUCAAAUCGUACCCCAAACCGACACAGGUGGUCAGGUAGAGAAUACCAAGGCGCUUGAGAGAACUCGGGUGAAGGAACUAGGCAAAAUGGUGCCGUAACUUCGGGAGAAGGCACGCUGACACGUAGGUGAAGUGAUUUACUCAUGGAGCUGAAGUCAGUCGAAGAUACCAGCUGGCUGCAACUGUUUAUUAAAAACACAGCACUGUGCAAACACGAAAGUGGACGUAUACGGUGUGACGCCUGCCCGGUGCCGGAAGGUUAAUUGAUGGGGUCAGCGCAAGCGAAGCUCCUGAUCGAAGCCCCGGUAAACGGCGGCCGUAACUAUAACGGUCCUAAGGUAGCGAAAUUCCUUGUCGGGUAAGUUCCGACCUGCACGAAUGGCGUAAUGAUGGCCAGGCUGUCUCCACCCGAGACUCAGUGAAAUUGAACUCGCUGUGAAGAUGCAGUGUACCCGCGGCAAGACGGAAAGACCCCGUGAACCUUUACUAUAGCUUGACACUGAACAUUGAGCCUUGAUGUGUAGGAUAGGUGGGAGGCUUUGAAGUGUGGACGCCAGUCUGCAUGGAGCCGACCUUGAAAUACCACCCUUUAAUGUUUGAUGUUCUAACGUGGACCCGUGAUCCGGGUUGCGGACAGUGUCUGGUGGGUAGUUUGACUGGGGCGGUCUCCUCCUAAAGAGUAACGGAGGAGCACGAAGGUUGGCUAAUCCUGGUCGGACAUCAGGAGGUUAGUGCAAUGGCAUAAGCCAGCUUGACUGCGAGCGUGACGGCGCGAGCAGGUGCGAAAGCAGGUCAUAGUGAUCCGGUGGUUCUGAAUGGAAGGGCCAUCGCUCAACGGAUAAAAGGUACUCCGGGGAUAACAGGCUGAUACCGCCCAAGAGUUCAUAUCGACGGCGGUGUUUGGCACCUCGAUGUCGGCUCAUCACAUCCUGGGGCUGAAGUAGGUCCCAAGGGUAUGGCUGUUCGCCAUUUAAAGUGGUACGCGAGCUGGGUUUAGAACGUCGUGAGACAGUUCGGUCCCUAUCUGCCGUGGGCGCUGGAGAACUGAGGGGGGCUGCUCCUAGUACGAGAGGACCGGAGUGGACGCAUCACUGGUGUUCGGGUUGUCAUGCCAAUGGCACUGCCCGGUAGCUAAAUGCGGAAGAGAUAAGUGCUGAAAGCAUCUAAGCACGAAACUUGCCCCGAGAUGAGUUCUCCCUGAGACUU
RNAcentral lists this ribosomal RNA (2788 nucleotides) under Salmonella enterica subsp. enterica serovar Dublin. RNAcentral describes it as "bacterial LSU rRNA". It matches the Rfam family "Bacterial large subunit ribosomal RNA". Lineage: Bacteria; Pseudomonadati; Pseudomonadota; Gammaproteobacteria; Enterobacterales; Enterobacteriaceae. The record is from RNAcentral.